This is a non-coding RNA of Pelobates cultripes (western spadefoot toad), 290 nucleotides long. The record is from the annotation of a GenBank genome assembly. Lineage: Eukaryota; Metazoa; Chordata; Amphibia; Anura; Pelobatidae.
GCUUAAUUCAGCUCAACGAACAUCUCCUUUGGUGGACCUAAAACGGUGGUUACUAGUUCUCCUCUAGAAUGUGACUGUAAUGAUUUCCUCGUUCUACUGGAGACUACAUGGAUGUUACAUUUCUACUAUUGAUAAAUACUGUUAUAUGUGACUUGUGAUGCCGCUUUAUUAAGAGGAAGUACCUCAGUGUGUGGUGCUUGUUAUAUCCUAUUCUUAUCUCUGAUUGGUUCUUUGUUUAUAUGUUCUUUGCUGCUAUAGAGUAAGUAAAGGCAGUUUAUGCAAAAUAUUAG